RNAcentral lists this transfer RNA (76 nucleotides) under bacterium. Its description in RNAcentral is "tRNA-Thr". It matches the Rfam family "tRNA". Rfam says of the family: Transfer RNA (tRNA) molecules are approximately 80 nucleotides in length. The record is from RNAcentral.
GCCGAUGUAGCUCAGCUGGUAGAGCAGCACUUUCGUAAAGUGAAGGUCGGCGGUUCGAAUCCGCCCCUCGGCUCCA